RNAcentral lists this transfer RNA (65 nucleotides) under Dipodomys ordii (Ord's kangaroo rat). It matches the Rfam family "tRNA". From Rfam's summary of the family: Transfer RNA (tRNA) molecules are approximately 80 nucleotides in length. Their secondary structure includes four short double-helical elements and three loops (D, anti-codon, and T loops). The record is from Rfam by way of RNAcentral. Lineage: Eukaryota; Metazoa; Chordata; Mammalia; Rodentia; Heteromyidae.
GGUGGCUCAAUGGUAGAGCGCUUGCCUUGAAUGCAUGAGGCCCUGGGUUCGAUUCCUCAGUACCA